Molecule: long non-coding RNA, 201 nt
Filed under: Mytilus galloprovincialis (Mediterranean mussel)
Lineage: Eukaryota; Metazoa; Mollusca; Bivalvia; Mytilida; Mytilidae
Source: RNAcentral
GUCAACUUUUUAAUGGUUUACAUAUGAACCCAUAAGAAACAAAAUUGAAAAAUCUCAACCGUUUUCUUCCAUUUUUUAUGAGUGAAAACGUCAAAAAUCAUCAUUUUCGUCUUUGUUUACAUUUUUUCAUUGAUCACCAGCACCCGUCAGGACCGAAUCACCAGCACAGUACGUUCUCUCGCAGGACAACCAUACCCACCG